GGGAAAGUGGCUCAGUGGUAGAGUGUUUGCCUCAUGUGCAUGAGACCCUGGGUUCAAUUUCUCAGUACCA
Non-coding RNA from Dipodomys ordii (Ord's kangaroo rat), 70 nucleotides. Lineage: Eukaryota; Metazoa; Chordata; Mammalia; Rodentia; Heteromyidae. The record is from Rfam.